CCAUGCACAAGGGCUCUCCUUUUGGACAUCCCAACCUGAUCUCAAUCACACCUUUUAACAUCCCACAUGUCCCAUGUAUUUAUAGGCUAAAGGGAGUUAGACUUUGGAUAGGAUUCAAGAGUCCAUGUAGCCUUGGACUCUUCCUAAUUUGUGCCGCCCAUCUCUUUUCUAUAUGACCCAGGUUUACACGGUGAAUAAGGUGAUUUGGUUUCUUUCUUACAUGCUAAAAAGGAAAAAAAAAGGUGGCAUCAAAUCCUGGUUCAAUGUGGAAACAAAAAUCAAGGUGGCAUGAGGUGUUUUGGCGCAUGGAUUGGAGGAGUUUCAAUCUCAUGGGACUCUUGUUUAAUGUGGCUGUUUAAACUCAAUAAAAUAUUAAUUAAUCAUAAUCAUAUUAGAAUCAAAUUAGACUUAAAAAGAUAAAAAAUCAAAUCUAACUUGGAGUCCAAUUUAUUUAAAUUAGAUAUCUCCUAAUUGGAGGAGGAGUCCUAAUCCAAU
This 495-nucleotide long non-coding RNA is filed under the name Elaeis guineensis (African oil palm). RNAcentral describes it as "long non-coding RNA (EGUI_LNC053535)". Lineage: Eukaryota; Viridiplantae; Streptophyta; Magnoliopsida; Arecales; Arecaceae. The record is from RNAcentral.